CGGCCGGAGCUGCUCUGCGGGGCCGUGGCGCUCGGCUGCGCGCUGCUCCUCGCCCUCAAGUUCACCUGCAGUCGAGCAAAAGAUGUGAUAAUACCAGCAAAGCCACCUGUCAGCUUUUUCUCCUUGAGGUCUCCAGUCCUUGACCUCUUCCAGGGGCAGCUGGAUUAUGCAGAGUACGUUCGACGGGAUUCAGAGGUGGUACUGCUCUUCUUCUAUGCCCCUUGGUGUGGACAGUCCAUCGCUGCCAGGGCAGAAAUUGAGCAAGCAGCAAGUCGGCUUUCAGAUCAGGUGUUGUUUGUGGCAAUUAACUGUUGGUGGAACCAGGGGAAAUGCAGAAAACAGAAACACUUCUUUUAUUUUCCUGUAAUAUAUCUGUAUCAUCGGAGUUUUGGACCAAUCGAAUACAAAGGCCCCAUGAGUGCUGUUUACAUUGAGAAGUUUGUCCGCCGGGUGAUGAAACCACUUCUCUACAUCCCAUCUCAAUCAGAAUUACUAGAUUUUCUCUCAAACUACGAGAGGCCUGGCGAGGUGCUUCAUGCCUGCAACCCCAGCACUUGGGAGGCCAAGGUGGAGGAUUGCUGGAAGCCAGGAAUUCAAGACCAGCCUGGGCAACAAAAUUAGACCCUGUGUCUAUAACAAAAUGUUAAAAAUUAGCCAAGCAUGGUGGCACAUGCCUGUAGUCCCAGCUCUACUUGGGAGGCUGAGGCUGAAGGAUUGCUUGAGUCCAGGAGUUUGGCGUUACAGUGAGCUAUGAUGGCACCACUGCACUCCAUCCUGGGCAACAGAGUGAGACUCCAUCUCAAAACAAAACAAAGACAAGACUCUGAGACCAGAAACAAUUUCUAGGACAACAGUUUUGCCUUUAAGUUACUUAAACAUCACAGAAAGCCAUUAAAGGCCUGGAGUACUCGGGUACUUUGAGUUCAGUGGCUCACCCCAGCCUCCUGGUUAUUUGACCUUCUUCACCUCAGCAUUACAUUCAUUAAAGAAAGGUCUUCCCCAGGGAGGUCCUGAACUACACAGCUGAGAACAUCUGUAAGUGGGCCUUAGAAAACCAGGAGACGCUCUUUCGGUGGCUGCGGCCACACGGAGGCAAGAGUCUCCUGCUGAAUAACGAGCUGAAGAAAGGACCAGCGCUGUUUCUGUUCAUACCUUUUAAUCCCCUGGCCGAAAGUCAUCCUUUA
Molecule: long non-coding RNA, 1184 nt
Filed under: Homo sapiens (human)
Lineage: Eukaryota; Metazoa; Chordata; Mammalia; Primates; Hominidae
Description: HSALNT0227756
Source: RNAcentral